CCUACGGGGGGCAGCAGUGAGGAAUAUUGGUCAAUGGGCGCGAGCCUGAACCAGCCAAGUCGCGUGAGGGAUGACGGUCCUACGGAUUGUACACCUCUUUUGCCGUUGAGCACGCGUGCGUUCGUGCCCGCGCGUCGAGAGUACCCGGCGAACAAGCCUCGGCUACCUCCGUGCCAGCCGCCGCGGUACUACGGCGGCUUCGCGCGUUCUCCGUCUUUCUUGGGUUUACCGGUU
This 234-nucleotide ribosomal RNA is filed under the name uncultured bacterium. RNAcentral's name for it is "partial 16S ribosomal RNA". It matches the Rfam family "Bacterial small subunit ribosomal RNA", at positions 338 to 568 of the family's 1533-position model. The record is from RNAcentral.